GACUACCGGGGUAUCUAAGCCCGUUCGCUCCCCACGCUCUCGCACCUCAGCGUCAGUGUUCGUCCAGGAGGCCGCCUUCGCCACCGACGUUCUUCCGGAUCUCUACGCAUUUCACCGCUCCACCAGGAAUUCCGCCUCCCCCUCCGACACUCGAGCCCAUCAGUUUGCACCGCGCUUCCUCGGUUAAGCCGAGGGCUUUCACGCUCCACUUGAUGCGCCGCCUACGCGCGCUUUACGCCCAGUCAUUCCGAACAACGCUUGCCCCCUCCGUCUUACCGCGGCUGCUGGCACGGAGUUAGCCGGGGCUUCCUCUCCGGGUACCGUCCUCGCGCACGGCUCUUCACCGUCCACGCCUUCGUCCCCGGUCACAGAGCUUUACACCCCGAAGGGCGUCUUCGCUCACGCGGCGUUGCUGCGUCAGGGUUGCCCCCAUUGCGCAAAAUUCCCCACUGCAGCCUCCCGUAGG
RNAcentral lists this ribosomal RNA (466 nucleotides) under uncultured bacterium. RNAcentral's name for it is "partial 16S ribosomal RNA". The record is from RNAcentral.